Molecule: ribosomal RNA, 630 nt
Filed under: Escherichia coli
Lineage: Bacteria; Pseudomonadati; Pseudomonadota; Gammaproteobacteria; Enterobacterales; Enterobacteriaceae
Description: bacterial LSU rRNA
Rfam family: Bacterial large subunit ribosomal RNA
Source: RNAcentral
UCAUCUCCGGGGGUAGAGCACUGUUUCGGCAAGGGGGUCAUCCCGACUUACCAACCCGAUGCAAACUGCGAAUACCGGAGAAUGUUAUCACGGGAGACACACGGCGGGUGCUAACGUCCGUCGUGAAGAGGGAAACAACCCAGACCGCCAGCUAAGGUCCCAAAGUCAUGGUUAAGUGGGAAACGAUGUGGGAAGGCCCAGACAGCCAGGAUGUUGGCUUAGAAGCAGCCAUCAUUUAAAGAAAGCGUAAUAGCUCACUGGUCGAGUCGGCCUGUGCGGAAGAUGUAACGGGGCUAAACCAUGCACCGAAGCUGCGGCAGCGACACUAUGUGUUGUUGGGUAGGGGAGCGUUCUGUAAGCCUGUGAAGGUGUACUGUGAGGUAUGCUGGAGGUAUCAGAAGUGCGAAUGCUGACAUAAGUAACGAUAAAGCGGGUGAAAAGCCCGCUCGCCGGAAGACCAAGGGUUCCUGUCCAACGUUAAUCGGGGCAGGGUGAGUCGACCCCUAAGGCGAGGCCGAAAGGCGUAGUCGAUGGGAAACAGGUUAAUAUUCCUGUACUUGGUGUUACUGCGAAGGGGGGACGGAGAAGGCUAUGUUGGCCGGGCGACGGUUGUCCCGGUUUAAGCGUGUA